UUGUCCGGUGCAUGUCUCCAAAAAGCCACAGCCACAGCCACAGCCCUUGUUCUUGCUUACCGUUGUAAUCCCUCCCUCCCUCUCUCUCCGGGCGCGCGCGGGCGCUCGAAGAGGAUCGAUUCAUUUUGAUUUUUCUUGAUUCUUCAUUGAUGGAGACGAAACCCAGAAGCGGGAAGACAGAAGUCAAGAAAGAGUCAAUACGGGGGCCUUCCAAACCAGCAGACUUGUCCACAGACCAGAGAAGCGGCAAGAAAUUGAUGAUUGAAGGAUACCCAGUUGAGGGAUUGUCGAUUGCAGGCCAUGAAACGUGCGUGAUUUUGCCGUCCCUGAAGUUGGCCUUCGAUAUCGGUCGGUGCCCACAACGCGCCAUCUCUCAAGACUUCCUCUUCAUCUCCCACGCUCACAUGGAUCAUAUCGGAGGAGUUGCCAUGUAUGUUGCAAGUCGUGGAUUGUUUUCUUUGAAGCCCCCAACAGUAGUAGUGCCUAAAUGUGUAAAAGAAGAUGUUGAGAGACUCUUUGAGGUUCACAGAAAGAUGGACAAUUCAAAAUUGAAGCAUAAUUUAAUCGGCAUGGAUAUCAUACCACCUAUGCAUGCAGGAGAAGAGAUUUAUGUAAGGAGAGAUGUUAAAGUACGAGCUUUUAGGACUUAUCAUGUCAUACCAAGCCAGGGUUAUGUAGUUUACUCAGUGAAAGAGAAACUUAAGCAGGAGUAUUUGAGCCUUCCUGGGAAUGAGAUCAGGGAUCUCAAGCUAUCUGGCGUGGAGAUCACAUACACCACAACGGCACCCGAAGUUGCUUUUACUGGAGAUACCACUUCUGAUUUUAUACAUGAUGAAAAUAAUGCUGAUGUUUUGAGGGCAAAGAUUCUUAUUAUGGAGGUAGACUACGAAACAUAACACGGUGUGCGAUCGCUCAUGUGGAUAGGCUUCAGUCUCUCCAAUGAAGACAUUGCAACAAGAAACAACCAUAGCCAUGUGGUCUCUGUUUCUUAUUUUGAAAUUUGAAUUUGUUAAGAGGCUGCACACUUGAGUUUUAUUCACAAUAUUAAGGGUUCAUCUUGUCUCUGUUCUGUCACUUUUUUUUUUUAUCAUCGAUCUCUUUUCUACGAUCAAUGACCGAGCAGGUGCAGUUAUGUUUACACCCCUGUGUUUGCUUGUAGUCUUCUUUUGUAAGAAGAACAACCUAAAAUAGGUCAUUCGAAGAAGGGGAACAUCAACUUACAAUUAACACGAAUCAGAUUUUGAUUGCGUUUACUUAAAACAUGCAUAUGCAAAAUUUCAGUAUGCACAACCAAUAAUAGAAAAAGUAAUGCUACUCUAGUUUUGAGUGUUUGACGAGGGGUAAGAGAACUUUGAGUAGCAUAAGCUACCCUGCAUGCAUACAGCUUUGGAUGUAAGCUGUGUUUUUGCACUGAAGUGAUAGUAAUCCAGUCCUAGUAAUUCAUUUAGAGUGUUUGAAGACAAAACAAAUGGAAGUGAUAAAUCUCAUUUCUUGUGCCUAAUUAGCUGCCGGAGUGAGUGUGUAUGAGGGACGGCAUUUUUAAGCUUCCAGGAAGAAGUACUGUGCUUAAUGGCGUAUGAUUUGACAUCCAUUUUGCUAUAUCUACAGUCAGAAUAAGAGCACCUUUGUUGAUGACAAGGUGACAGUAGAACAUGCCAAGGAGUAUGGGCAUACUCAUC
This is an RNA transcript of Syzygium oleosum, 1679 nucleotides long. It is a transcript of the gene named tRNase Z TRZ1, with no coding region annotated. NCBI's taxonomy places the organism in Eukaryota, Viridiplantae, Streptophyta, Magnoliopsida, Myrtales, Myrtaceae. The transcript has 8 exons. The record is from RefSeq and is a predicted model, not a curated record.